This 497-nucleotide ribosomal RNA is filed under the name uncultured bacterium. RNAcentral describes it as "partial 16S ribosomal RNA". It matches the Rfam family "Bacterial small subunit ribosomal RNA", at positions 28 to 507 of the family's 1533-position model. The record is from RNAcentral.
GAUGAACGCUGGCGGCGUGCCUAAUACAUGCAAGUCGAGCGAACAGAUAAGGAGCUUGCUCCUUUGACGUUAGCGGCGGACGGGUGAGUAACACGUGGGUAACCUACCUAUAAGACUGGGAUAACUUCGGGAAACCGGAGCCAAUACCGGAUAAUAUUUCGAACCGCAUGGUUCGAUAGUGGAAGAUGGUUUUGCUAUCACUUAUAGAUGGACCCGCGCCGUAUUAGCUAGUUGGUAAGGUAACGGCUUACCAAGGCGACGAUACGUAGCCGACCUGAGAGGGUGAUCGGCCACACUGGAACUGAGACACGGUCCAGACUCCUACGGGAGGCAGCAGUAGGGAAUCUUCCGCAAUGGGCGAAAGCCUGAUGGAGCAACGCCGCGUGAGUGAUGAAGGUCUUCGGAUCGUAAAACUCUGUUAUUAGGGAAGAACAUACGUGUAAGUAACUGUGCACGUCUUGACGGUACCUAAUCAGAAAGCCACGGCUAACUACGUG